AAAAAAACUCUUUUUUAUAAUGAUAGAAGGUGAUAGGUGUCUCUCAUUGGUUGGUAUAAAUUAAAGUCAAUUUUUAUGCCUGUGUUGGCUGUUUGCUUGCUAAGACUAUUCAAAGUUGGUGGAAAUUCAAGUCAGGUUGCUGCCCGACAUUAUUGUAUGUUGGGUUCAUCUUCUUGCCAUUAAAUUUCCUCCGCAGUUUGUUCCUCAAGCACGGGUCAUCUAGCUACUCCACAAAAAGGGUCAAACAAAAAAAACAAUAGUUUUCCAAAAAUAUAUAUAAAAAAAUUCAAAUCAGGUGGUAUUAAUGCUUAUUAGAUUAAGUGUUAAGUAUAACUUCAUUAAAAAAAAAAAACUUUCAAGUUUGAGAUCUUUAGAUGGAGAAAAUAGACUCUGGUUAAGGAAUUUAUUGUUGAAGAGUUGCAUUUAAAAUUUUUUAACUUGUAUCCUAAUAACAUUUAUUAGUAUUUUUCAUACCUUUAAAUAAGAAUACACUUAAAAUUUGUUUUCUGCACAUUCUUAAGAUUUCAA
RNAcentral lists this long non-coding RNA (528 nucleotides) under Glycine max (soybean). Its description in RNAcentral is "long non-coding RNA (GMAX_LNC000126)". Lineage: Eukaryota; Viridiplantae; Streptophyta; Magnoliopsida; Fabales; Fabaceae. The record is from RNAcentral.